CCUACGGGUGGCAGCAGUGAGGAAUAUUGGUCAAUGGCCGUAAGGCUGAACCAGCCAAGUAGCGUGAGGGAAGACUGCCCUAUGGGUUUUAAACCUCUUUUAUGCGGGGAUAAAGGUGUCCACGUGUGGAUGUUUGCAGGUACCGCAUGAAUAAGGACCGGCUAAUUCCGUGCCAGCAGCCGCGGUAAUACGGAAUGUCCGGGCGUUAUCCGGAUUUGUUGGGUUUAAGGGGAGCGUAGGCGGACGGUUAAGUCAUCGGGAAAAGCCCGGGGCUCAACCCCGUCGAGCCGUUGAAACUGGCUGUCUUGAGAUGACGAGAGGUAUGCGGAAUGCGCAGUGUAGCGGUGAAAUGCUUAGAUAUUGCGCAGAACUCCGAUUGCGAAGGCAGCAUACCGGCGGCGAUCUGACGCUGAGGCACGAAAGCGUGGGUAUCGAACAGGAUUAGAUACCCGGGUAGUC
This 459-nucleotide ribosomal RNA is filed under the name uncultured bacterium. RNAcentral's name for it is "partial 16S ribosomal RNA". It matches the Rfam family "Bacterial small subunit ribosomal RNA", at positions 338 to 795 of the family's 1533-position model. The record is from RNAcentral.